AUACGGAGGAUCCGAGCGUUAUCCGGAUUUAUUGGGUUUAAAGGGAGCGUAGGUGGAUUGUUAAGUCAGUUGUGAAAGUUUGCGGCUCAACCGUAAAAUUGCAGUUGAAACUGGCAGUCUUGAGUACAGUAGAGGUGGGCGGAAUUCGUGGUGUAGCGGUGAAAUGCUUAGAUAUCACGAAGAACUCCGAUUGCGAAGGCAGAUCACUAGACUGUUACUGACACUGAUGCUCGAAAGUGUGGGUAUCAAACAGGAUUAGAUACCCUGGUAGUCCACACAGUAAACGAUGAAUACUCGCUGUUUGCGAUAUACAGUAAGCGGCCAAGCGAAAGCAUUAAGUAUUCCACCUGGGGAGUACGCCGGCAACGGUGAAACUCAAAGGAAUUGACGGGG
RNAcentral lists this ribosomal RNA (393 nucleotides) under uncultured bacterium. Its description in RNAcentral is "partial 16S ribosomal RNA". It matches the Rfam family "Bacterial small subunit ribosomal RNA", at positions 523 to 918 of the family's 1533-position model. The record is from RNAcentral.